AAUUGACGGGGACCCGCACAAGCGGUGGAGCAUGUGGUUUAAUUCGAAGCAACGCGAAGAACCUUACCAAAUCUUGACAUCCUUUGACAACUCUAGAGAUAGAGCUUUCCCCUUCGGGGGACAAAGUGACAGGUGGUGCAUGGUUGUCGUCAGCUCGUGUCGUGAGAUGUUGGGUUAAGUCCCGCAACGAGCGCAACCCUUAAGCUUAGUUGCCAUCAUUAAGUUGGGCACUCUAAGUUGACUGCCGGUGACAAACCGGAGGAAGGUGGGGAUGACGUCAAAUCAUCAUGCCCCUUAUGAUUUGGGCUACACACGUGCUACAAUGGACA
RNAcentral lists this ribosomal RNA (329 nucleotides) under Staphylococcus aureus. RNAcentral's name for it is "bacterial SSU rRNA". It matches the Rfam family "Bacterial small subunit ribosomal RNA", at positions 908 to 1236 of the family's 1533-position model. Lineage: Bacteria; Bacillati; Bacillota; Bacilli; Caryophanales; Staphylococcaceae. The record is from RNAcentral.